UCAGAAGCCCAGCCUUCGGACCUGUGCCUGAAACGUCCACCAUAAGAUUUGUGCCUGAAACUACUGACACCUUUUUCUUUUCCCCCCUCAUAAAAACCAAAGGGUAGGAGUUUCUGCUGGAGCUAGCAGGCCACGGGGGAAAAGACCUAUUUCAAAGGUAAAGCAGAAGGUUACUUCAAGCUGCUUGGUAAAUCCCCAGGCUCUUCCCAAAGUGGAGAGCUGAGAAGGCCUCCUAUUUGAUGCUCCAAUUCUUAGGUGAAAGAAAAAAAUAUCUCCCAGCUUCGUCAUUGCUCAAGGUG
This 299-nucleotide long non-coding RNA is filed under the name Homo sapiens (human). RNAcentral describes it as "HSALNT0097009". Lineage: Eukaryota; Metazoa; Chordata; Mammalia; Primates; Hominidae. The record is from RNAcentral.